AGUGAACGCUGGCGGUAGGCCUAACGCAUGCAAGUCGAACGGCAGCACAGUAAGAGCUUGCUCUUACGGGUGGCGAGUGGCGGACGGGUGAGGAAUACAUCGGAAUCUACUUUUUCGUGGGGGAUAACGUAGGGAAACUUACGCUAAUACCGCAUACGACCUACGGGUGAAAGCAGGGGAUCUUCGGACCUUGCGUGAUUGAAUGAGCCGAUGUCGGAUUAGCUAGUUGGCGGGGUAAAGGCCCACCAAGGCGACGAUCCGUAGCUGGUCUGAGAGGAUGAUCAGCCACACUGGAACUGAGACACGGUCCAGACUCCUACGGGAGGCAGCAGUGGGGAAUAUUGGACAAUGGGCGCAAGCCUGAUCCAGCCAUACCGCGUGGGUGAAGAAGGCCUUCGGGUUGUAAAGCCCUUUUGUUGGGAAAGAAAAGCAGCAGGUUAAUACCCCGCUGUUCUGACGGUACCCAAAGAAUAAGCACCGGCUAACUUCGUG
RNAcentral lists this ribosomal RNA (492 nucleotides) under uncultured bacterium. Its description in RNAcentral is "partial 16S ribosomal RNA". It matches the Rfam family "Bacterial small subunit ribosomal RNA", at positions 29 to 507 of the family's 1533-position model. The record is from RNAcentral.